This 432-nucleotide ribosomal RNA is filed under the name uncultured bacterium. RNAcentral describes it as "partial 16S ribosomal RNA". It matches the Rfam family "Bacterial small subunit ribosomal RNA", at positions 28 to 507 of the family's 1533-position model. The record is from RNAcentral.
AACGAACGCUGGCGGCAGGCCUAACACAUGCAAGUCGAGCGAGGACUUCGCUCCUAGCGGCGGACGGGUGAGUAACGCGUGGGAACGUGCCUUUUGCUUCGGUAAACCGCUGGGAAAUUGGGAGUAAUACCGGAAGAGCGCUUUGGGGGCAAGAUGUAUCGGCGGAGGAUCGGCCCGGGUUGGAUUAGGUAGUUGGUUGGGUAAUGGCCUACCUCGCCGGCGAUCCAUAGCUGGUUUGAGAGGGGGAUCAGCCACACUGGGACUGGGAGACGGCCCGGACUCCAACGCACGGCAGCAGUGGGGAAGCUUCAACGAUGGGGGGUACCCUAUUCUAGCCAUGCCGCGUUAACGCUGAAGGGCUUAGGAUGGUAAACCGCUUUCAUCGGGGAUGAUUUGGACGUAACCAGAAGAAGAACCCCCGGCAACUCCGUG